This is a long non-coding RNA of Haplochromis burtoni (Burton's mouthbrooder), 469 nucleotides long. RefSeq lists it as uncharacterized. The transcript is spliced from 4 exons. The record is from RefSeq and is a predicted model, not a curated record. Lineage: Eukaryota; Metazoa; Chordata; Actinopteri; Cichliformes; Cichlidae.
CGCCUGAACAUGACGUCACGACACUUUUAAAAGCCGCUCGUUUUCUUCGUCACAUCCUCUUUCCGUUGCUCUUCUCGCUUUGAGAAACCUCUCCACACGAUGAGAGCCAAGUGGAGGAAGAAGCGUAUGCGCAGGCUGAAGCGUAAAAGGAGAAAGAUGAGGCAGAGGUCAAAGUAAGCCCCCCCUCCUGCCUGCCAGCUGUGAUCACGUCUGAGCCUCUCCAGGUGACUGACAUGCGGACGAAGGGGGAUUGCUCGGCGGUUCCAUCAACGAAAUUAAAGGCCUAAACCCCCGAUUUCAGAUGACCACGCUUUUCACGGAGCCUGCUGUGACGGUCUGACUGGAAGAUGGUGAAGAUGCUGGAGAAGAACAUGACUGCAGCUGCGUUGUUCAUGGACCAUAAUGCAUCUUGUUUCUGUACAAUUGUUUGUGGUGUUUUGAACAAUAAAUGAACACUGUUAAAUUACCA